Molecule: ribosomal RNA, 116 nt
Filed under: Stegodyphus mimosarum
Lineage: Eukaryota; Metazoa; Arthropoda; Arachnida; Araneae; Eresidae
Description: eukaryotic small subunit ribosomal RNA
Source: RNAcentral
AUAACAAUGCGGCACUCUUUUGAGACCCCGUAAAUAGAAUGAGUACACUCUAAAUCCUGCAAGGAGGAUCAACUGGAGUCCAAGUCUGCUGUUAGCAGCUGCGGUAAUUCCAGCAU